This 33-nucleotide transfer RNA is filed under the name Cycloneda sanguinea. Its description in RNAcentral is "partial tRNA-Ile". Lineage: Eukaryota; Metazoa; Arthropoda; Insecta; Coleoptera; Coccinellidae. The record is from RNAcentral.
GUUAACUAAAAAUAGUAAUUAUAUUCAAUAAAA